UACGUAGGGGGCAAGCGUUGUCCGGAAUCAUUGGGCGUAAAGAGCGCGUAGGCGGCCCUGUAAGUCCGCUGUGAAAGUCAAAGGCUCAACCUUUGAAAGCCGGUGGAAACUGUGGGGCUAGAGUCCGGAAGAGGCGAGUGGAAUUCCUGGUGUAGCGGUGGAAUGCGCAGAUAUCAGGAGGAACACCAAUAGCGAAGGCAGCUCGCUGGGACGGUACUGACGCUAAGGCGCGAAAGCGUGGGGAGCGAACAGG
This 253-nucleotide ribosomal RNA is filed under the name uncultured bacterium. RNAcentral's name for it is "partial 16S ribosomal RNA". It matches the Rfam family "Bacterial small subunit ribosomal RNA", at positions 524 to 776 of the family's 1533-position model. The record is from RNAcentral.